This 83-nucleotide transfer RNA is filed under the name Canis lupus familiaris (dog). It matches the Rfam family "tRNA". Rfam says of the family: Transfer RNA (tRNA) molecules are approximately 80 nucleotides in length. Their secondary structure includes four short double-helical elements and three loops (D, anti-codon, and T loops). The record is from Rfam by way of RNAcentral. RNAcentral also lists the same sequence under 1 other name. Lineage: Eukaryota; Metazoa; Chordata; Mammalia; Carnivora; Canidae.
ACCGGGAUGGCCAAAUGGUUAAGACCUUGGACUUAAGGUCCAAUGGACAUGUGCCCAUGUAGGUUAGAACCCUACUCCCAGUA